This is a long non-coding RNA of Callithrix jacchus (white-tufted-ear marmoset), 4437 nucleotides long. RefSeq lists it as uncharacterized. The record is from RefSeq and is a predicted model, not a curated record. Lineage: Eukaryota; Metazoa; Chordata; Mammalia; Primates; Cebidae.
AGAACAUUGUAAGGUCUUCAGUUUCCUCCAAUUUCUUUGAGUUCUGCUGACUCCAAGACACUGUCACCGAGUCACUUGUUCUUCAAGAAAGUGCCCAGGCUCACCUCCUCUGCUGUGUUGAGAUGAAUUCUCGGUGGAACCACCCAGCUGGGGAGCCCAAGUACCUCCGGAUGGGAGCCCCAUAUGGCAGGGAAGUACCUGUUUUUUCCGAGUUCCUGUCGCUGUCUCGGGGACGGGAACAAGGCUCAGCACUUGCAGCCUUUGCAGAAUUCUGGAACAGAGGCCAGCCACACCCCAGGUCUGUUCAUGGGUGGCUUCUCUGGGACAGGGGUGGCAGAAGCCAGAGGCACUUGGGCUGUGGGGGCCUCUGAGGAUCGAGGUCUAGGAGCAGCUGCUCCCCGGUUGCUGCCUUUCCCCAAGGACAUGACUCGGGGAAGAGGCUGGGUCAUUCCUCCUGCAGUUGUGCCAGUUGGGCUCAGCAAACCCCACCAUAAAAUCUUGGCCUGAGUCCAGAUGAUAUUACUUGGACAUGUUUUGCCUCCAAAUCUCAUGCUGAAAUGCCCCUCCGGUGUUGGAGGUGGGCCUCCUGAGAGGUGCCUGGAUCAUGGUGGUGAAUCCCUCAUGAAUGCUUGGUGUGUCUUGUUGUAAUGAGUGAAUUCUUGCUCUGCGCUCACACGAGAUCUGGUUCUUUAAAGAGUCCAGGCUGGGCACAGUGGUUUAUGCCUGUGAUCCCAGCACCGGGAGGUUGAGGCAGGCAGAUCACUUGAGGUCAAUUGUUCAAGACCAGCCUGGCCAACAUGGUGAAACUCCAUCUCUAUCAAAAAUAUAAAAAUUAGCUGGGCUUGGUGGUACACGCUUGUAGUCCCAGCUACUUGGGAGGCUGAGGCAGGAGAAUCACUUGAAACCAGGAAGCGGAGGCUGUAGUGAACCAAGAUUGUGUCACUGCACUACAGCCUCAACAACAGAGAGAGACUGUGCCACACACACACACACACACACACACACACACACAUAUACACAUACACACAAAGACAUAUACACACAUACAUAUAUACACACAAACACACAUGCAUGCACACAUACACACAUACAUAUACACAUACACACAUACACAUCUACACACAUACAUACACAUACACACACAUAUACACAUACACACACAUACACAUAUACACAUACACACAAAGACAUAUACACAUACAUACAUAUAUACACACAAACACACAUGCAUGCACACAUACACACAUACAUAUACACAUACACACAUACACAUCUACACACAUACAUACACAUACACACACAUAUACACAUACACACACACACAUAUACACAUACACACAAAGACAUAUACACACACAUACAUAUAUACACACAAACACACAUACACACAUACACAAACACAUAUACACACAUACAUGUAUACACACAAACACGCACAUGCAUACACUCAAACACACAUACACACACACAAAGACAGAAAACAAAGUCUGGGACUGCCUCCCCGUCUUGCUCCCGCUCUAACCCUGUGCCAUGCCCGCUCCCACUUCGCCUUCUGCCUUGAUUGUUGGCUUCCUGAGGCCUCCCUGAAGCCAAGCAGAUGCUGGCACCUGCUUCCUGUGCAGCCCACAGAACCAUGAGUCAAUGAGACCUCUUUCCUUAUAAAUUACCCAGCCUCAGGUAUUCCAUUACAGCAAGGAAAGAACAGACUAACACAACAUGUUGGUGACUUCUGAGGCUCCCCUUCCUGCUGUCUGUGGGGACCGGUCCCUCCUUUGACCACCUGCAGAAAUUCAUCCUAACCACUGCUCUGGUGCCAGCGCGUUGCCACCACAGGUGCUGGGGUUUUUGGUUUUCUUGAGAGCACACUAGCAGGCUCUGUGGGCCGCGGGACACCAGAGGACCCUCUUUUAGGAAGGAGCUGUGGGCCGCGGGACACCAGAGGACCCUCUUUUAGGAAGGAGCUGUGGGCCGCGGGACACCAGAGGACCCUCUUUUAGGAAGGAGCUAUGCAGAACAGCUUGGGCCACCGCCAGCCAGGACGUCCCCCUUAGGAGCUGGGCUAGCACGGCAGGCAUGAGAUGUGCAGGGAAGGGGCCCCUCCCACCAGGUCAGAGGAGAGGCAGGGAGGCCAGCCCCACCAAAGCCAGGCCUCCAUUUAUUUGUAAAGUGAGAGCUGGAACUUCACAAUCACAAAAGGUUUUUCCCAAGAACCAAAAGGACGUAGUUUCUAACAGUUCUCCUCCCUCUCCUUUGUGGCUGACAAUGAAUGACCUAAUCCGCUUCCUUUCUGAGUAAUUCUCCUGCCCAGUGACUCACCCAGGUGCAGCUGAGACACACGGGCGCAGGGCUGCCACCUGCAAAGUGCAGAAACGAUGGAGCAGACGGGUCCAAGAGCCUUCGGCAUCCCAAAUGAAUCAGGAGGGACACGCAGGCUGCGUGACGUCUGCCCCUGAACCAGGAAAGUGUGGCUGCUUCCUCCACACCCCGCCCGCCGCCCCGGACCCAGGGCCCUUCUCAAAAAAGCAAUGCCCGGAGCUGCAGCAGUCAUUUUGUGAUUGUGAAGCCAUGAACUGGGGAAUGAAGACCAGCAUCAAAGAUGGCAAAACAGAGAGAGGUAAAGAGCAAUCAUUCCCUGAUGGCAUGGCUGGGCCACUGCUCCAACCCUGUGAGGCCACACGUCUCCAUAUUACAUGAGCCAAGGCUGUCUUCCGCAUCUAAACUUCUCUACACCCAGCUCGGGGUGGCACCGUGGCCUGGAGAUGCAGUUGGAACGAGGAAGAGAUAUCCCACUGGAAAACUUUUUCUGACUCUGAUGAGGUGACCUUGUAUCAUUGGGGUUGUGGGGAGGGCUUGCACAUACACAGAACACUAUUUUGAUCAGAGAAGUGUUUUGUUUUUCUUCCUGUUUUACAAGAACACACACUAAGUAUAUCUGGUAUUUGUAUGGACUCAGUCACCCUGAACCCAAAUAUUGACAUUCCAGGUGAAUUAGUCCUACACUUGGGUCUGCUGGCUCACCUCAGGUGCCAGCAUGUUUUCGGGAAAGAGUGCCAGGCCCAGGCAGAGAGGCCCAGGGCUCCCGUGGAUGGCUGCACAAUGCCUGGCCCUACCCAGUGGGGCCCUGGAGAAAUUACCGGUGAUUCUGUCCACGGUCCUCGCUCUGCCAGCACUCAGCCCCGGGCCAGCCCCACUGCUGCAUUCCAGCUGAUGGAACAGCAGGACAGGUGGCCACUGCUCACCUGGACAGCUGUGGCUGCUCUCAUGGUCUUGCUGUAGGGCAGGAGACAGGGCAGAGAGACUGGGGUUUGCACCUCUAAUGCCAGAGAACCAGACUGGCUGUGUCUCACCCCGGGUCUGGCUCAGCCCUGCCGGGUUGUCCACCCUGAGGAGGUCAGAGCUGAAGUGUUAAUUUUGUAUGUCUGGCUAGAGGCACAGUGCUUGCAUACAGUAGGUGCUCAGGGUUUGUUUUAUUGAGAUAUUUUUUACUAUUUGAAAUAUGUACACACUUUUGUCUUUGAAGAAAAGAGUUCUUUUUGUUAAUGAAAUGCAAACAGAUACCUGGUGAAGUUAAAGCAUUUUAGGCACUUGGUUUAACGUCAGGUUUUUAAACUGUUCACAUCACCUGGUGUUCGGUGUUCACGGUGCGCACAUUUGCAGCAGAGUCUGAUACACACAACACACACAUCCACCCCACACACACAUACACACACAGCACACACACCACACACAUCCACCCCCCACACACAUAUACACACACCACACACCACACAUAUACACACACCCCACAUACCACACACACCACACACCACACAUAUACACACACACACCAUACACAUCCAUGCCACACACACAUAUACACACACCCCACACACACAUAUACACACACCCCACAUCACACAUAUACACACACACACCACACACAUCCACCCCCCACACACAUAUACACACACCACACACCACACAUAUACACACACCCCACACACAUCCACCCCACACGCACAUAUACACACACCCACCACAUACCACACACAUACCACACACAUCCACCCCCACACACAUAUACACACACCCCACACACACAUAUACACACACCCUACAUACUACACACACCAUACACCACACAUAUACACACACACCACAUACCACACACACCACACACCACACAUAUACACACACACCACACACAUCCACACCACACACACAUAUACACACACCCACCACAUACCACACACAUACCACACACAUCCACCCCCACACACAUAUACACACACCCCACAUACCACACACACCACACACACCACACAUAUACACACACACAUACCCACACAUCCACCCCACACUCACAUAUACACACACACACCACAUACCACACACAUCCACGCCACACACACAUAUACACACACCACACACCACACAUAUACACACAUACCACACACA